GGCAGAUGGUCGGGGCUUUGGGAGCUGUCAGUGACCUGUGAGAAACAAAUUAUUAGCCUGAAAAUGAAGAAAUGCAGUUGCUGGAUGUUUGUACCUAUUAUACUUACUGUCUUUACAACAGUUGGAUUCUGGGCUACGUAUGUAAUUGCACAAGGAAGCAAAAAGAUUUGUAGUCUCGAUUUAUUGGAAUGG
Pristis pectinata (smalltooth sawfish) is the source of this 192-nucleotide long non-coding RNA. RefSeq lists it as uncharacterized. The transcript has 3 exons. The record is from RefSeq and is a predicted model, not a curated record. Lineage: Eukaryota; Metazoa; Chordata; Chondrichthyes; Rhinopristiformes; Pristidae.